AAAGUCGUAACAAGGUUUCCGUAGGUGAACAUGCGGAAGGAUCAUUCAUAAUAAGUGUUUUAUGGCACGCUUUAAGUCUAUAUCCAUCUUGUGUGCAACGUCAGUCGAUCUCCUUCAUGAGAUCGGCCAAGCAUCAACCAUUCUUUUAACUCUUUGUCUGAAAAAUAUUAUGAAUAAACAAUUCAAAAUACAACUUUCAACAAUGGAUCUCUUGGCCCGC
RNAcentral lists this unclassified non-coding RNA (220 nucleotides) under Mucoromycotina sp. RNAcentral describes it as "partial contains small subunit ribosomal RNA, internal transcribed spacer 1, and 5.8S ribosomal RNA". The stretch from base 1 to 47 matches the Rfam family "Eukaryotic small subunit ribosomal RNA", at positions 1785 to 1831 of the family's 1831-position model. Lineage: Eukaryota; Fungi; Mucoromycota. The record is from RNAcentral.